Long non-coding RNA from Lycium ferocissimum, 768 nucleotides. RefSeq lists it as uncharacterized. The record is from RefSeq and is a predicted model, not a curated record. Lineage: Eukaryota; Viridiplantae; Streptophyta; Magnoliopsida; Solanales; Solanaceae. The transcript has 3 exons.
GUUUUUCCUAGUAUACAUGUUUUUUUUUUUUUUCUCUUGUUGCUUGAAUUGGUUUGUCAAACUCAUCCAAAUUCAUAUUUCCAUUUUUUUUUAAUCUCCUCUUAUCGAAUCUAAAACCCCUAAAUUAUCUCACUUUUAUUUGCCAAAACCAUAAGUUUUAAUUUCCUGUUCAAAUUUGGUCAUUUUCCACACUAAGUUAGUUAUUAUGUUCAGUAUACAUGUCUUUAUAUUUUUAUUUUUCUGUUUGUGAAUUCGACGAAUAUUCAGUCGAUUUAAUGAGUUUAUGUUUAUACUUUUUGAUACACAGGCUAGUGAUAGGUUCAAUAUCAACUCCCAGCUUGAGCAAUUACAAGCUAAAUAUGUUGGAACAGGACAUGCUGACUUGAUAGAUUUGGGCGGUAAACAUUCAGCGUGACAGCUACGCAUCCUAUGUUGGGCACUAUCCAAUGUUGGCGUAUUUUGCCAUUGCAGAAAAUGAAUCAAUUGGAAGAGAACGCUACAAUUUUAUGCAGAAAAUGCUGUUGCCUUGUGGUCUCCCACCUGAAAGGGAAGAUGAUUAAGAGUUGCAAUGGAUAGCACCCUGCAGACUCAGACCUUUGUCAAGCCAAAACCUUGCUGCUCUGAUCUCCAGUUCAUAACUCGUAAGGUUGUUGUGAUGUGAAAGAUUUGACUUGUAUUAAUCCCGAGUGAUCUAGCGAAAGCACAUUCAUAGAUACAAUAUCUUGAGUUGUUUUUUCAUGUUCAACUAACAGAUAAAUAUUUGAAGUU